Molecule: transfer RNA, 89 nt
Filed under: Spirochaetales bacterium
Lineage: Bacteria; Pseudomonadati; Spirochaetota; Spirochaetia; Spirochaetales
Description: tRNA-Ser
Rfam family: tRNA
About the family: Transfer RNA (tRNA) molecules are approximately 80 nucleotides in length. Their secondary structure includes four short double-helical elements and three loops (D, anti-codon, and T loops).
Source: RNAcentral
GGAGAGGUGCCAGAGUGGCCGAAUGGGGCUCCCUGCUAAGGAGUUGUACGGCUAAAACCGUACCGGAGGUUCGAAUCCUCUCCUCUCCG